RNAcentral lists this ribosomal RNA (334 nucleotides) under uncultured Pseudomonadota bacterium. Its description in RNAcentral is "bacterial SSU rRNA". It matches the Rfam family "Bacterial small subunit ribosomal RNA", at positions 568 to 898 of the family's 1533-position model. Lineage: Bacteria; Pseudomonadati; Pseudomonadota. The record is from RNAcentral.
CGUGCAGGCGGCAGGACAAGUGGCGGGUGAAAGCGCCCGGCUCAACCGGGCGAGUGCCGGUCAGACUGUCGUGCUAGAGUACCGGUGAGGGACGUGGAAUUCCGGGUGUAGCGGUGAAAUGUGCAGAGAUCCGGAGGAACACCAGCGGCGCAAGCGGCGUCCUGGACGGAAACUGACGCUGAGACGCGACAGCGUGGGGAGCGAACGGGAUUAGAGACCCCGGUAGUCCACGCCGUAAACGAUGCCAACUGGAUGUCGGGGGGGCGAAAGCCUUUUCGGUGUCGAAGUUAACGCGAUAAGUUGGCCGCCUGGGGAGUACGGUCGCAAGGCUAAA